UACAGAGGUCCCAAGCGUUGUUCGGAAUUACUGGGCGUAAAGCGUGCGCAGGCGGUCUGUUAAGACCGAUGUGAAAUCCCCGGGCUUAACCUGGGAACUGCAUUGGUGACUGGCAGGCUUUGAGUGUGGCAGAGGGAGGUAGAAUUCCACGUGUAGCAGUGAAAUGCGUAGAGAUGUGGAGGAAUACCGAUGGCGAAGGCAGCCUCCUGGGCCAACACUGACGCUCAUGCACGAAAGCGUGGGGAGCAAACAGG
This 254-nucleotide ribosomal RNA is filed under the name uncultured bacterium. RNAcentral describes it as "partial 16S ribosomal RNA". It matches the Rfam family "Bacterial small subunit ribosomal RNA", at positions 524 to 776 of the family's 1533-position model. The record is from RNAcentral.